Mirounga angustirostris (Northern elephant seal) is the source of this 3592-nucleotide long non-coding RNA. RefSeq lists it as uncharacterized. Lineage: Eukaryota; Metazoa; Chordata; Mammalia; Carnivora; Phocidae. The transcript has 9 exons. The record is from RefSeq and is a predicted model, not a curated record.
CUUUUAGUAUCAUGUCUCUUAAAAUAGUUUUUUCAAAAAUAAAUAAAUUUUAAAUAAUAAAAUAAUAAGGGUUUUAUUCUGCUGUAUUAAACUCUAAUGCAAAGCCUGUUUGGUUCAACCUGUGUUUAUUAGGUUUUUAUUAGAUCUGAAUUUUCUAACCAAUUGGGCAAUAGGGAAAGUAGGUAAAACUGUGAGAUAGUUCCCUAGCAAAUGUCUGGAUGCAACUCUAGUCCAUACAGGACAUAUCUUACUCUAGUCUAUAUAGGAUAUUGAACAUUGCCUUCUUUUAACAUCAUUUUAAGGUACAUUUUGUUCUUUCUUUUCCUUUUUUUUUUAAAGAUGUUAUUUAUUUAUUUGUUAGAGAGAGAGCACAAGCAGGGGGAGCAGCAGACAGAGGGAGAAGCAGGCUCCCCGCUGAGCAGGGAGCCUGAUUCAGGACUUGAUCUCAGGAUCCUGGGAUCAUGACCUGAGCCUAAGGCAGAUGCUUAAACAACUGAAACACCCAGGCAUCCCUCUUUUCCUUUAUAUUUUUAAGUGAGAAUGUACUCCUACUACAUUGUUCUACUGUUACCUCUGUUUGGUGCCAUGUUGAUAUGGCAAGACUUGACUCUAACAUGUUGGCAAAAAAGAGAAAAACAAACCCUUUUAUAGGGCAGCUAACUCUUCAAUAGUGGCCAAUGAUUAAUCAAGAGCAGGAGACUCAAAACAAAUCAGAUAUCACUACUCAUAUAGCAUUCUAAGCCUUUUUCUAAGUGUUAAUGGAAUAACAUCAUGUCUGGGUAAUGUGGCAUUAAUAAAUUGAUGAAAACUAAAGUCAUUUAAUGUCCUUAAAGAUGAACAUAUUAGUAUAACAAAGCACCUUGUACACAUACAAUGUAACAUAUUCCUGCCUUCUCAAGCUAUUAUUAUAAAGGUGCCUAAAGAAACAAAAAAACUGAGACAGUUUAAUUUUAUUAAUUGUGUAUUCCUAUGUUUUUAAUGCAUAACAUUAACAUUACCUAUAAUUUCUUUUCAUCAUCUGGGUAUGCUCAAGGAAGUGAGGAAUAAUACAAGGUAAUAACUUUCAUCAGAACUGCCUGAGUUCAUUAGAAUUUAAACACCAAAUAUGCUGAUUUAUUUUUUUUUUAAAGAUUUUAUUUAUUUGACAGAGAGAGACACAGUGAGAGAGGGAACACAAGCAGGGGGAGUGGGAGAAGGAGAAGCAGACUUCCCUCCAAGCAGGGAGCCCAACGUGGGGUUCGAUCCCAGGACCCUGGGAUCAUGACCUGAGCUGAAGGCAGACGCUUAACGACUGAGGCACCCAGGUGCCCCUAUGCUGAUUUAUUUUAAGUUUGGAAAAUUAUUCAGAGAUAAAUUUCCAUAUCAAAUAUCAUUUAUAUUUAGGUUAUCUUACUUAAAACUACAAAAUAUUGCAUCUGACAUUUCCUAUGUUGACAACUUUUUAAAAAAUAAUCAUACCAGAUAUCUGACAAAUGUAAAUUUAAGAUUCAACAUUAUUCUGUAUCUAGAAUGAGAAAACAUGCAUAACAGCUUCACUUUUAAUCUUGGGAGAAAAGGUAACUAGGUGGUUAUGAACUAGCAUCUCCCAUUAAAUUAAUGGCUUUACCUAAUUCUUAUGUCUUCUGAAUGCAGCUCAUUAAACUUUAUGCUCUUUUAUAUUCAUUACAGGAAUUCUGUGUUAUUUUUCCUUAGGAUCCUCCUAUAAAUCAUUUUAUAGGUGAGGAAGCUUGACCUACUUUCCCAAAGAUAAAAAUCUCUUCAAAUCACUGGUCUAAUAUAAUCUUGAAAAUACCAUCUGCUAGAGCCUAGAGGAUUCACACGGACAUAAGGCAAUGUUGGGUUGCUAUUACAAAACACUAUACUUAAACAACAGAGAUUUCUUUUCUCUCAGCUCUGAAGGCUGGGAGUCUGAGAUCAGGGAUGAGCAUGGUUCCGUUCUGGUGAGAGCUCUCCUCCGAGCUUGCAGAUAGCCACCUUUUUGCUGUGUGGUCACAUGUCCUUUCCUUCAUGUGUGUGUUUGGAGAGACAGAGAAAGCACUCUUUGGUGUCCCUUCUUAUAAAGAUACUAAUUGUAUCAGAUCAGAGCUCCAUGGGGAGCUCUCUUCACAUAGGGUGAGGAGUGCUUAGCACUUCAACAUAUGAAUUUUGGGGGGGCAAUUCAGUCUAUAUCCUUAUAUGCAUCAUACAAUGACUGAUAUCACUAAGAAAUCAUCGCGGGUGCCCCUUUCUAGUUGUUGAAUAAUUGGUGACCCCAUCCGAUUAGUUCAACAAGUAGCUACUGUUCCAGGUCCUGCUCAGGGGCCAGGUAUAAAGUCAUGAACAAAGGAGAAUUAACUGUUAUCUUGUAUUUGGUAUGAUACGUGCUUAAAAAGGAAAAACUCUGAUGUAAAAAGAUCGUGAGAUGAUGGGAGGCUUCUCUGAAAUCAUUUUAGGUGAGACUCAGGAUGACCUGAAGGAUGCUUACGAUGCCCUGCCGGGCAUUCAGUUAAGCAGCUGUGCCAUGGAGUUUCUGAGCCAGGGUCUCCUGCCGCUCCGCAUGCAGGACCACAACCAGAAGUCAAGGUAUCAGAACAAAUUGGCAUUCCAAAGCAGCUAUCAUGAAGAACUUCAUUGCUCCUGAAACAUGAGAUGGACCCAGAAAACUGCAACAAGUUGUCCAACAGCACAGUAAUCCGCAAAAAUACACAUCUGCCAGCUACUUCUGUUCACCAGGUGUUACGACCCUCACCCACCCACAGCUGGUGUUAACAACUUUCAGUCCACUUUUGGAUGACUACUUCCACCACUUCAUGAUAACUCAGGAGCUUCAUCCUUUUUGCAUCCCUCUUUCACAACUAAACCUCAGGUCUUUUUCAAGAUUUCCAUUAGACAUUAGAGAUUUCUUUGAAGAACAAAAAGGAAACAUCCACUGUAAAGAGCUGACCUCAGCAGCACAGUGAUGAGUAGAUGUGCUGCUAGACCCACGAGUACUCCAAUCCCUUCCUCACCCGUGUUUAGCUCUCUCUUCCUCCUCCGUGGAGCAGUGCACCAUCAACAUGUCAGAGAAGAGGAAGCAAGAGGCUGGAGAGGGAAGAAAAAUGAUCAUUUCCAUACUGAACUGUCCUGGGAAACAAAGUGAAGAUCACUUUUUUCCAUGGAAAACUUUGCGGCAACAGAGUGACCAGAGACACCUCAUCUUUACAGAUAAUGGAUCAACAUAAAAGCAAAAGCAUCUUUCAUUUUCCUGGAUCCUUCAUGAUAUUGUGGAGCUGAACCAGCCAAACAUGCAUUGGAUAUAUGGCAGCCCUAUGAGUUAUGUACUAUAUAUUAUCAUCAUUUCAAUUUUAUGGACAAGGAUAUGAAGUCACGGAGAGGUGAAAUGAUUUACCCAGGAGUCCCACAGCUGGACCCCCAGAAGUCUCACUGGAUGAUCAUGGAAUCAAUCUCAAAAUCCAAGACCCUGAAGUCUACAAUCAAAUUUAAUGAAGAUUUUUGAUGUAGUUAUUCUUGAUUCUGAAAUCUAUGAAAUAAAAAGCAAGUUAUCUGACCUCCUCAUACAUACACCCACCCCAUGGGGAAAUAGGAAUGGGAGAGUCACAAAAGAUUCUGUGGU